This 74-nucleotide transfer RNA is filed under the name Danionella translucida. It matches the Rfam family "tRNA". Rfam says of the family: Transfer RNA (tRNA) molecules are approximately 80 nucleotides in length. Their secondary structure includes four short double-helical elements and three loops (D, anti-codon, and T loops). Further hydrogen bonds mediate the characteristic L-shaped molecular structure. tRNAs have two regions of fundamental functional importance: the anti-codon, which is responsible for specific mRNA codon recognition, and the 3' end, to which the tRNAs corresponding amino acid is attached (by aminoacyl-tRNA synthetases). tRNAs cope with the degeneracy of the genetic code in two manners: having more than one tRNA (with a specific anti-codon) for a particular amino acid; and 'wobble' base-pairing, i.e. permitting non-standard base-pairing at the 3rd anti-codon position. RNAcentral also lists the same sequence under 1 other name. The record is from Rfam by way of RNAcentral. Lineage: Eukaryota; Metazoa; Chordata; Actinopteri; Cypriniformes; Danionidae.
GUCUCUGUGGCGAAAUCGGUUAGCGCGUUCGACUGUUAACUGAAAGGUUGGUGGUUCAAGUCCACCCAGGGAUG